Molecule: long non-coding RNA, 700 nt
Organism: Corvus hawaiiensis (hawaiian crow)
Lineage: Eukaryota; Metazoa; Chordata; Aves; Passeriformes; Corvidae
Exons: 4
Source: RefSeq, a predicted model, not a curated record
GCACUGUUCUCCACACAGACACUCCUUCAUUUUCUGAGAUUAUUUAUUUUUUCAUACCUCAGGAACAAAUAUGGAAAUGAAAACAGAACAAGACAGGCAAAUCCUGCAUCGGACUAAAACCUACAAAGGCCUGAGAAGCUCGGUGUGACUCCAGCUGUUAAUGCACACAUAAAUAUUCUGCUGCCUUGGAACACCAAGAAGGUACUAAUAUCCAAAAGCCAGAGGUAAAGAUAUGCCCUGGGACCUGCACUGGAGAAGUGUCCUUCUAGAGAGACAUUUCUGAGGGAGGCAACGGAGUUGAUCUUUUCUUCUAUCUGGAGGACCAUAUGAAGGAGGACACAUGGUGUAUACAUAAAAUGUCUCUCCACAGGCAAAGACAACCAAGUCACACAUCAGAGGUUACAAGAGAUCUUAACCUAACAGACUGCAGAUGUUUCAUGGAAGGGAGAAAUCAAAGUGAGAAAAGAUAUUGUAAACUAGUUUGAAAUUAUAGAAGUAUCAAUAAACAAUCAUUUCUACAAUUUAAGGGGGUAGGGGUGCAAGGACUCUUUUUUUCCAUCAAAUGUCAGUGUACCCUAACAGGACAUCUCUCUAUUGCCAGUGGCUGUUAGCCUUCAGAAUUUUAGUGAGAAAUUAAAGGUCAUCUUCCUAUAUGUCAUAUCCUACUGCAAAUUAGUUUUUGCAAUCACUAAUUGAUGAG